AUGACCGACUUUGCACGACCGGAAAAAGCCACAGCUCGGUGCCUGCGGGACCUGAUAGGAUCCGGGAAGGACACAAGGACACUGGCAGACCAGGGAGACUUUACAAGAAAACAGCCCCCCCUUUAUUGGCUACUGGCUAACACCCCCACACAGACCUCAACCCCCUCCCAGAGGAUUCAGUUUUCCAGACUGAUCCCAAAGGCACCGUCUUUCUGCGGAGGAAGCACAGAGAGGUCAGGACUCGCCCAAGGUCACACAGAGGUGCCUUCCAGCUGCAGAGGUGCAAACUGCUCUUCCUCUUCCAAGCUGCGUGUGAGAAGUCGCCCCCCUCCUCAGCAGCCCGCGACCUGGCCGAUGGGAAUGGAAGUUAGCUUUGGCUGCAUUUUCGUCGAUGUUAACACUACACCCACUCUUCCUUCCCCUCGAUUCCUGUCUCUUCGGGAGAAUGGGUGAGGGCCUGGAGCCGAGUCCCGGGUUUUCAGAUGGGCAAUUUGCAAAGUCAUCAGGGCGCCUCCUUGACUGUUGAUUCUUUAGAAGGGAAAAACAAAGCACCUUAAACAGCUCGCCAUGCCCAGGCUUGGCCGGCUCCCAAGCAGGGAAGGCCUGUGUCCAGACAGGGUGAUCCACAUCGCCACCAUUCCUCCCCGUCUGGUGACAAGUUCCGCCAGGGCCUGUCAUUCAGCCCCUGGCCACCGCCGGCUCCGCGCCAGCCUUACGCUGGGCACGAAGGAGGCUGCGCCUGGACAGACGGGGCUCUGGGCUGGCCCCCGAUCCCGGGAGCUGAUGAGGACACAAGGUGCGGGGACCAGGACAGGUGGCGGGGGGCUGGGGGACAGCAUCCUCUCGGAUGGGAGGAUGGCGGGGGGACCUCUGCUCUGAGACCAGAAGGUUUACAGAAGUCAAAGAAGGAGGAAGGGUAAUUAAGUGUUCAAGACAAAAGGAAUGAUCUAGGCUCAGGGCCCACAUGGGAGAGAGCCCUGAAUGUUUGAGCAGCAGACAGGCUAUCGGUUAGGGGCUGGGGCAGGUCCACAGCCCUGACCCAAUGUCACCUUCACACUCUUACCUUCACACUCUUUUGAAAAUGUCAAAGCUCAUAUAAAAGUCAGAGCUAUUAAUAAUACGUUUUAAGCUCACACGGCGUCU
RNAcentral lists this long non-coding RNA (1143 nucleotides) under Mustela putorius furo (domestic ferret). Its description in RNAcentral is "lncRNA (ENSMPUG00000031079.1)". The record is from RNAcentral. Lineage: Eukaryota; Metazoa; Chordata; Mammalia; Carnivora; Mustelidae.